UACAGAGGGUGCAAGCGUUGUUCGGAAUUACUGGGCGUAAAGCGUGCGUAGGUGGUUUCUUAAGUCUGCUGUGAAAGCCCCGGGCUCAACCUGGGAAUUGCAGUGGAUACUGGGGAGCUAGAGUGCGGUAGAGGGUAGUGGAAUUCCCGGUGUAGCGGUGAAAUGCGUAGAGAUCGGGAGGAACACCAGUGGCGAAGGCGGCUACCUGGACCAGCACUGACACUGAGGCACGAAAGCGUGGGGAGCAAACAGG
RNAcentral lists this ribosomal RNA (253 nucleotides) under uncultured bacterium. RNAcentral's name for it is "partial 16S ribosomal RNA". It matches the Rfam family "Bacterial small subunit ribosomal RNA", at positions 524 to 776 of the family's 1533-position model. The record is from RNAcentral.